Molecule: ribosomal RNA, 253 nt
Filed under: uncultured bacterium
Lineage: Bacteria
Description: partial 16S ribosomal RNA
Rfam family: Bacterial small subunit ribosomal RNA
Source: RNAcentral
GACAGAGGUGCCAAGCGUUAGGCGGAAUCACUGGGCUUAAAGCGUGUGUAGGCGGAUGCCUAAGUACCUUGUGAAAUCCCACGGCUCAACCGUGGAACUGCUGGGUAUACUGGGUGUCUUGGGUCAGCUAGGGGUUGCCGGAACAAAUGGUGGAGCGGUGAAAUGCGCAGAUAUCAGGAGGAACACCGGUGGCGAAGGCGGGUCUCUGGGCAGUAACUGACGCUGAGGAGCGAAAGCGUGGGGAGCGAACAGG